This 1047-nucleotide long non-coding RNA is filed under the name Drosophila guanche. Lineage: Eukaryota; Metazoa; Arthropoda; Insecta; Diptera; Drosophilidae. The record is from RNAcentral.
CUUUAUGUUCGGUACAGCAUAGCUUCACUGGGAUGAGUUUUGCUGGAGUUAUUAGCAAAAAAUCGAUCGACAAAACCAGACGCGAUUGUGGUAAGUCUUAUAUAUGUAGAUAUAACCUACACUAAACUUAUAUAAUCCCUCGUGGUGAAGUUUUCUUGCAAGCCAUAAAUUCAAAGGAAUCUGUGUUGAUCUGUGCUAGUGCCUAGUGAAAACAAUAAUCAACCAAGGACAAAGGUCAGGAGCCCUAUCUUUCUUAGCAGCCUAAGUGCGCAUAAGUGCAUAUACGAGAGGCGUAUCACCGAAGUCAUCCCCAAAUCCACAAGGGGUAUAAUUCGAUUCCCCCCUCUUCUGCUCCGAAACGCCGAGCAUCGAAAACCUCUGACUUGGGUCAACUUUAGUGAGGCGUAGCAUCCCUUAGGAAGCUCAGCGCGUUAGGCGGCGCCUCGGAACCUUUCACCAGCGCCACUGAGACCACCAGUUUGUCGCGCACUUUAGUGCUUAUGUAAGCGGCAGAUCGACAUCAAGCCGGAUGUUCCACAUUUUAGCCCAGUGUCCAGAGCUAGAACAUUGGGCGUGAUUUUGACGGACCUGACUACAGAGGAGCCACUGCCAACAGCAGGACAGAUGUCCGGAGUUAUGCUGUGUUAAUUUGCACAUUUUCUGGGACUAAGUUCAAUAUGCCAUUUUAAGGCCAAUUCUCUGGCGGUUACGUAUAUGUAUAUUCAAGCAUCGGGAAUCAUGAGUGUUUGUAGAAAAGAGUGGGUUGAAAUAAUAAAUUGAAAUUAUCAAAUCGUACUUGCAGGUACAUUCGUGUGCAUAUAUUGUUAAAACUUUAUAUUUUUCCCCAGAUACCAGCACCUACGUCAUCCUUGAGCUCAACGAUUACGAAAGGAGUAAGGGUAUUAGAAUACCAAAACCAAAAGAAAACUGUGAGUUUGUAAACUUAAAACCAUAUAUGCACAGAGUAUAAACGUAACCUGCGUGUUACUAAAUAUUUAAUCAUAACCGUAAUGGGUUAAUAUAUCUCGCCCCCUUUUAUUCUAUUAC